Molecule: ribosomal RNA, 476 nt
Filed under: uncultured bacterium
Lineage: Bacteria
Description: bacterial SSU rRNA
Rfam family: Bacterial small subunit ribosomal RNA
Source: RNAcentral
GAGUUUGAUCAUGGCUCAGAACGAACGCUGGCGGCAUGCCUAACACAUGCAAGUCGAACGAGACCUUCGGGUCUAGUGGCGCACGGGUGCGUAACGCGUGGGAACCUGCCUUGAGGUUCGUAAUAACUCAGAGAAAUUUGAGCUAAUACCGGAUAAUGUCUUCGGACCAAAGAUUUAUCGCCUUUAGAUGGGCCCGCGUUGGAUUAGCUAGUUGGUGGGGUAAAGGCCUACCAAGGCGACGAUCCAUAGCUGGUCUGAGAGGAUGAUCAGCCACACUGGGACUGAGACACGGCCCAGACUCCUACGGGAGGCAGCAGUGGGGAAUAUUGGACAAUGGGCGAAAGCCUGAUCCAGCAAUGCCGCGUGAGUGAUGAAGGCCUUAGGGUUGUAAAGCUCUUUUACCCGAGAUGAUAAUGACAGUAUCGGGAGAAUAAGCUCCGGCUAACUCCGUGCCAGCAGCCGCGGUAAUACGGAGG